AUUUAGGCUUAGAAUUUAGUGUACCAGUUCAAUUAAGAAAUGUUAUAUUAGUUAUUUUAACAGAGAAAAUAUAAUAUAAAGAAUUGUUAACCAGCUGUUGGAGAUUUAAAACAUAAGAAGAAAUGAUACCUAGAUAUCAUGGAAACUGAGAGCUGAGAGAACAAAAGUCAGAGGUUGGAAUUAUCAAAAUCCAGGAGUGUAGAGGUAACCCAGUGGCUAGGGCUUGUCCCCUGAGGAGCACUUGCUGCUCAAGAUACAGAUGGCCCAGGAACUUGGAAGCUAGAUGCAGAACUCUGAGAAGCAGGUGCUGGUGUCUCUAAAAUGGCACGAUGGGCUAGUUAUGGGAUUUUUAAGGAAAAUGUCCAACUGGAUCACUGGUGCUGCUGAAGCACGCUGUGGCUCUCUGGGUAGAGAUGCUGCUAGAGGCAGGCAGGCAGGAUGCGGAAGAGGCACAUCCCCUUCCCCUCCUCCAGUCUCCAAAGCAGAGAGUAGAAGGGUGCGCUGGAAGCUGGGAAGUCCAGUGUACAACCAGCAAUCUUAGCUUUGCAGUUACUUAGUUUUAGAGUACUUUUGAAUUUAGUUUGUUUUGGAAUCGUUAGGGAUGGUUUGGUUUUAAGUUUUCCCUAGACAUGGGAUCUAGCUGAGUCUCCGGCCCCCUGAUUGUUUCUGGAAUGGAGUGAGCCAAUGAGAGCAGCCUCUCCUGUGAGUCUCAAGGAAACCACUUUAGAUAUCAAAAAAAAAAUAAUAAUAAUAAUGUGUCUCACUUUAUCAUAAGGAAGCCCUUUAGGUGGCCAAAAAAAGUAGACACUAAGGGUCAGACUGUAAGGGAGAGGCUCAUCCCUCUUUGGAACUUUUCAGAAAGUGAAACUAUGUUGUGGGUCCACCUUCUCCCACCCCCCUUUCCUAACAAUAAAGUAUCUUUCUUGAUAAUGUGUGUUUCAAUUUUGUAGACUAU
RNAcentral lists this long non-coding RNA (955 nucleotides) under Marmota monax (woodchuck). Lineage: Eukaryota; Metazoa; Chordata; Mammalia; Rodentia; Sciuridae. The record is from RNAcentral.